UACGGAGGAUGCAAGCGUUAUCCGGAUUUAUUGGGUUUAAAGGGUGCGCAGGUUGUUUGAUAAGUCAGUGGUGAAAGUCUGUCGCUUAACGGUAGGAUUGCCAUUGAUACUGUUGGACUUGAAUAUGGAUGAGGUAGGCGGAAUGUGUAGUGUAGCGGUGAAAUGCAUAGAUAUUACACAGAACACCGAUUGCGAAGGCAGCUUACUAAUCCAUCAUUGACGCUGAGGCACGAAAGCGUGGCGAUCAAA
Molecule: ribosomal RNA, 249 nt
Filed under: uncultured prokaryote
Description: partial 16S ribosomal RNA
Rfam family: Bacterial small subunit ribosomal RNA
Source: RNAcentral